This 469-nucleotide ribosomal RNA is filed under the name uncultured bacterium. Its description in RNAcentral is "bacterial SSU rRNA". It matches the Rfam family "Bacterial small subunit ribosomal RNA", at positions 328 to 795 of the family's 1533-position model. The record is from RNAcentral.
GUUCCAGACUCCUACGGGAGGCAGCAGUGAGGAAUAUUGGUCAAUGGCCGAGAGGCUGAACCAGCCAAGUCGCGUGAGGGAUGACGGCCCUACGGGUUGUAAACCUCUUUUGUCGGGGAGCAAAGAGAGUCACGUGUGGCUCAUUGAGAGUACCCGAAGAAAAAGCAUCGGCUAACUCCGUGCCAGCAGCCGCGGUAAUACGGAGGAUGCAAGCGUUAUCCGGAUUUAUUGGGUUUAAAGGGUGCGCGGGCGGAGGUGCAAGUCAGUGGUCAAAUUGCGGGGCUCAACCCCGUACUGCCGUUGAAACUGCAUCCCUUGAGUGCGCGAGAAGUAUGCGGAAUGCGUGGUGUAGCGGUGAAAUGCAUAGAUAUCACGCAGAACCCCGAUUGCGAAGGCAGCCUUCCGGCGCCCUACUGACGCUGAGGCACGAAAGUGCGGGGAUCGAACAGGAUUAGAUACCCCCGUAGUC